UUGCUCUCUCUGCCAGACAAAGUGAAUUAGGCUGCAUUAGCGGCCAUGCUUCUCUGUGGCCCUCAGGGCAGGGCUUCAGGCCUGCACACAGUCAUUUUGUUGUGGGUGGUGGUCCCCCCCCUUUUUAAUGGCAUACUAAUUAGCAUCAUUUUCCAGCAUGGGGCUAUUUGUAGUUGGCAAGCACCGAGCAAGUGCUUCUAACUCCAAGAUGGAAUUCGUGCAAAGCACCUCCCUUGGCGCUUCUGUCCUGGCUGUGAUGGGAUGUUCCUGCGCGUGUGUGUCUAUGACAUUACACAUAAUGAGGCCUGGGAAUAGAAACAAGAGGAGGGCAUCAGGAGAAAUGGCUUUGUGACUGGUGACUCAGCAUGCUAACUGCACGUGUGGCCCUUCUCCAGGGUUUCCACACACAGGCAAUCCUUGCAACACAAAGGAGUCCCCCGGCCACGAACCUGGAUUGAAGAUCUGUGGGUUUUUAAUAUCUGCACAGUUCCUUUAGCCAGGAAGCUGCGGCUGCUUUAUUGGCAUUGUCCCUUAACUCGCAUAUUUGCACCUAGUAGCAGUGAAGGAAAAGGCAUUCAUAUUCCUGAAGACUAGGGGAGAAUCACAGAGAGAGGCCCAGCCAGUCACUGGAUCCACAACAGAAAGCAGCACUUCCUAUAGAGAGGCCUCCUCUGGCAACUGUGCAGGUGCUGUGCGGGGCCACUGCCAGGUGCUGUGCGGGGCCACUGCCAGGUGCUUUGCGGGGCCACUGCCAGGUGCUGUGCGGGGCCACUGCCUCGAGUGGUAAUAAUGAGGCCCUGGGGUUUGCAGGGAGCGUUGCUAAGUCUUUGAAUUGACCUGGAGAAAUGGCUGUUUUUCUGUGCCUAUACUCGUCCCAACAUUUUUCCUGCCUUGCUUUUAAAGGCCUCUGUUUAUUUCAUCAACAGCACUCAUACUCUCAACUACUGCCAAAUGUCAUGCAUCUCUGGCACGUUCCUGAUCCUGAAGGCUGAGGAAGCCUAUUUCCCAUGCCGCGUGCUCACAUCUCUAUGCUGUGUCUGCGAUACCAGAUGAGAGGAAUUCGUCCCCAUGUCCACGUCUCAUCACCCGUCCCCUGCAAAGCUCCCUGGAGAGGGACUAUCCAGCUCAGCAGACACUGUGGGAGACUCAGGCCACUGUCAGCAGAGAGCAGACCAUUUCACCAUGACCUGCUUCUGGCCUCAGGGAGGGAAGACUGUGGGGGACUUUUAAAUCAUUCUCAGGAAGAAAGAAACUGCAGAGUGGAAUUCUGGAUAUAAUGGAAUCCUGCCCCAGCCUGGUGGCUUCUCUCAGAUCUUUCCUCCCGGCUUGCCGCUUCAUCGUCUCUGAACCUCCUGUGUCUCCUAUCGUGAUGAACUUGCAUUUUUAGAACAUUCCUGUGCUUUUCCAUGAGUGUGUGUUUGUUUCAGGUAAGAAACAUACAUGAAGUUUAUAUUUGAUGUGGCAUUUUGACAGCACCCCUUUCUGUAAUUCAAUCUACGAUCUCCCUUCAAGGUUGACAUUAAAAGUGUGCAGAAUCUGGGCUUUGAAAAA
Molecule: long non-coding RNA, 1551 nt
Organism: Pongo pygmaeus (Bornean orangutan)
Lineage: Eukaryota; Metazoa; Chordata; Mammalia; Primates; Hominidae
Exons: 2
Source: RefSeq, a predicted model, not a curated record